GAUGAGACUAUAUAGUAUCAGCUAGUUGGUAAGGUAAUGGCUUACCAAGGCUAUGACGCUUAACUGGUCUGAGAGGAUGAUCAGUCACACUGGAACUGAGACACGGUCCAGACUCCUACGGGAGGCAGCAGUAGGGAAUAUUGCGCAAUGGGGGAAACCCUGACGCAGCAACGCCGCGUGGAGGAUGACACUUUUCGGAGCGUAAACUCCUUUUCUUAGGGAAGAAUUCUGACGGUACCUAAGGAAUAAGCACCGGCUAACUCCGUGCCAGCAGCCGCGGUAAUACGGAGGGUGCAAGCGUUACUCGGAAUCACUGGGCGUAAAGGGCGCGUAGGCGGAUUAUCAAGUCUCUUGUGAAAUCUAAUGGCUUAACCAUUAAACUGCUUGGGAAACUGAUAGUCUAGAGUGAGGGAGAGGCAGAUGGAAUUGGUGGUGUAGGGGUAAAAUCCGUAGAUAUCACCAAGAAUACCCAUUGCGAAGGCGAUCUGCUGGAACUCAACUGACGCUAAGGCGCGAAAGCGUGGGGAGCAAACAGGAUUAGAUACCCUGGUAGUCCACGCCCUAAACGAUGUACACUAGUUGUUGGGGUGCUAGUCAUCUCAGUAAUGCAGCUAACGCAUUAAGUGUACCGCCUGGGGAGUACGGUCGCAAGAUUAAAACUCAAAGGAAUAGACGGGGACCCGCACAAGCGGUGGAGCAUGUGGUUUAAUUCGAAGAUACGCGAAGAACCUUACCUGGGCUUGAUAUCCUAAGAACCUUUUAGAGAUAAGAGGGUGCUAGCUUGCUAGAACUUAGAGACAGGUGCUGCACGGCUGUCGUCAGCUCGUGUCGUGAGAUGUUGGGUUAAGUCCCGCAACGAGCGCAACCCACGUAUUUAGUUGCUAACGGUUCGGCCGAGCACUCUAAAUAGACUGCCUUCGUAAGGAGGAGGAAGGUGUGGACGACGUCAAGUCAUCAUGGCCCUUAUGCCCAGGGCGACACACGUGCUACAAUGGCAUAUACAAUGAGACGCAAUACCGCGAGGUGGAGCAAAUCUAUAAAAUAUGUCCCAGUUCGGAUUGUUCUCUGCAACUCGAGAGCAUGAAGCCGGAAUCGCUAGUAAUCGUAGAUCAGCCAUGCUACGGUGAAUACGUUCCCGGGUCUUGUACUCACCGCCCGUCACACCAUGGGAGUUGAUUUCACUCGAAGCCGGAAUACUAAACUAGUUACCGUCCACAGUGGAAUCAGCGACUGGGGUGAAGUCGUAACAAGGUAACCGUAGGAGAACCUGCGGUUGGAUCACCUCCUUUCUA
This 1292-nucleotide ribosomal RNA is filed under the name Campylobacter jejuni. RNAcentral's name for it is "bacterial SSU rRNA". It matches the Rfam family "Bacterial small subunit ribosomal RNA", at positions 224 to 1533 of the family's 1533-position model. The record is from RNAcentral. Lineage: Bacteria; Pseudomonadati; Campylobacterota; Epsilonproteobacteria; Campylobacterales; Campylobacteraceae.